Long non-coding RNA from Camelus dromedarius (Arabian camel), 1208 nucleotides. RefSeq lists it as uncharacterized. The transcript has 4 exons. NCBI's taxonomy places the organism in Eukaryota, Metazoa, Chordata, Mammalia, Artiodactyla, Camelidae. The record is from RefSeq and is a predicted model, not a curated record.
CACCCAGUGCCCGGCCGGCUCCUUCCGCACUGUCCUGCGAGGUGCAGGCCCCUUCUCCAAGGGCAAGAGGACAGGCCUGGAGCUCGGACAUCAUGGGUGUCCCUCGACUCCCUGUAGCCCCAGCUCUGGCCCUUGCCUCCAACGUGCCUGCCAGACCCCACUGGAGAAAACCAACCCACUCAGGCCACCCUCCUGCUGUGCAGCAAUCCUGUGCACCCCCUUGGCCAGCCUGCACUUGGGGACAUGGAGACACUUGCUGGACAGGCAGCUCUUGAGCAAAGUGCCCUCUCCAAGACCACAAGGCCCCCAAAGAAGGGGGUUUCACCAGUUGACGGAGCCACACAGGGAGUGACAUGCUGAGGCCACUCACCUUGGAGUGCUGCGAGGGACACGGAAGAAUCCGGGCCACCCCCGCCUCUCCCAUCGCAAGCCCUGCCUGGAUCGCAGUCCCAGGGGAAUUCCUGAGCAGGAAGGCGAGGCCAGAGCAGGAGCAGACAUGCCCUGCCACCAGGCCGGCUGCAGACGGCCGCCCGGGGCCCUGGGCGGUCUCAGGUGGAUGUUCCUGGGCCGCUGACUCAGCACGGCCGCCCAGGCAGCACCUCGGCCUCCAGCACACACACCAGUUGCCAGAGCAUUAUUCACAACAGCCAAAAGGUGGAAACAACCCAAGUGCCCACUGGCUGGCAGAUAAAGGGAUAAACAGAACGGCACACCCACACAGCGGGUACGAUUCAGCCUGAAGGAGGAACGAAGACGCGAUGACUUCGCUGCGGUGUGGAUGAAUCUUGAGAAUACUGUGCUGAGUGCAAGAAGCCAGCCUUGAAACAAUAAACACUGUUACGAUUCCACUAAAAUGGGGUCCCCAGAGGAGUCAAAUUCAUAGAGGCAAAGCAGAAUGGUGGUACCAGGGACUGAAGAGGGGGGACCUGGGAGUCCGUGUUUAACGGGUUCCAAGUUGCAGCUGGGAGGGUGACAGAGUCCUGCACGCGGAUGCUGGAGAUGGCUGCACGCAGUGUGAAUGUACUUAAUGCCGCUGAACUGCGCACUUCAAAAUCGUUAAAAUGGCAAAUUUUACCAUGCAUGUUUUACCACAAAAAGAGCACACAGUCCCCCAUCCCAGCAUUUGGGACACACUUAUAUUAAAUGUGUGAAGCAUCCUAACCAAAUAACUAAAAACUUACUUGUAGUUUGUUUGAAAUUAAAAUAUU